Cucurbita moschata (crookneck pumpkin) is the source of this 3065-nucleotide long non-coding RNA. RefSeq lists it as uncharacterized. The transcript has 4 exons. Lineage: Eukaryota; Viridiplantae; Streptophyta; Magnoliopsida; Cucurbitales; Cucurbitaceae. The record is from RefSeq and is a predicted model, not a curated record.
UACUAGAAUCAGAGCGCUCCAUCAAUGGCCUCUUCCCUUUUGAGUGUUCGUUGCCGAAAUCAAACGGAUCAUUACCAGGCAAUCGGAGAGCAGAAUCGAAAGAAGUAUCUCGCCUCGUCUCGGUGAUGCAAAUAGAGAAGAGAGCAGGACGACGAACUCUUAUGUCAUCGAGUUUUGUUCCGAUAACAGAGAGGGGAAGAACAAGGCAGUUGUUCUUGAUGAAGUGAUUGCUUGGGCAACAGAAAAGCAGUUCGUCUUGUCAUUGAGGCUGGUUGGAUUUUCGCAUCUGCUAGGAAUACUGGUAGAAGAAAGAAUUUGAUCAGCUGAAGAGGAGAAUGGCAAAGUCUAAGAAAUAAUUUGGUCUGCUGAAGAGGAAAAGGUAAGAGUCUAAAAAAGAUGUAAGCAUCUGAUGUGAGUGAAUUUAAAAUGAUCUUGUUGCUUAAGAAGUUUUUGUGUCUUACUAGCUUGCUUCAUUGGAAAUUAUUAUAUGACUGCAAGUCACCUGACAAGGUGCAAAAAUGUUUGAAUGAGAUUUGGCAAUUGAAUAACACUAUAUCAGGAAGAGGGAUCACACAAAGGAAGUUUUUUGAUUAAGGAAUGAGGGAUCACACUAAAGUGAAGAAUUGUUUGAUUAAGGAAUGAGGGAUCACACAAAGGAAGUUUUUUAAAUUUUAGAGGAAGGAAGCACUCGAAAAAAAGAUUUGCUUCAUUGAUUGGUGAUAAAGAAAAGUUAAAAUGUAUUUGGUCUAUAAAUUUGUUAAUGGACAAUUUUUUGGAUAUUUUUAGUUUGUGAAAGUUAUGUGUGUAAGGAAGGAAAGAACAAAAGUUUGGAUACAAGAAUUGUGGGUUAAAGUAGUAUGAGAAUGGUGGAUCAAGGACUAUUCACUUUCAUAAACGUUAUGACCGAAAAUGGAAGUUUGUUCAAAUUGGAGAUUUGAAAAGCUUAUUUUGGAACCAAGAAAUAGGAUGUCAUAUGCCAUGAGAAGUAGCAAAGAACUUGAAUCAAGGACAUGGAAGUGAAGAAUUGUUGGAAUCAAGGAAUGAGGGAUUACAAGAAUGAUGGUUAUGUAUGUAAAGAAGGAAGGACGAUAAAUUUGGACUUUCAAGUUUUUGAUUAUGGACAAUCUUUUGGAGCCUUUUAGUUUAAUGGUUGGAUAUGAAAGGACGAAGGGAAGAUAAGUUUGGAUACAAGAAUUUUUGUUUAAAGCAUAAGAUUGGACUUGCAUUUUUUUAAUUUUUUUAUUAGUUGUUCUUUGGAUCCAUAAUAAUUUUUGAAGUAGUCUAAUGAGGUUUAAUUUGAGGGAAGUGAAUCUAAGUACUAUAACGAGGAAAUGGAGUAUAAUGAGGAAAUAGAGUAAAAGAAUUUUCUUAAAGAAAAGUUUUGAGUGUAUUUGGUCUAUAAAUUAGGUAAUGGUCAAUUUUUUGGAUCUUUUGAGUUUGAUAGUUACGUAGGUAAGGAAGAUGAAUUUGAAUAUGGGAGAUGUGAGUAUAAGAUUGGACUCCCUAGAUAAUCUUUUGGAUUUUUUUUGUUUAAUGGUUAUGCAUGAAAGGACGGAAGAUAGAUAAGUUUGGAUACAAGAAUUUUGGUUUAAAAUUUGAGAUUGAACUUCAAAUUUUGAUAGAUGAUUUCUCGUCAUUCUCGGGAUAAAAAAUUAUGUUUGAGUUAAUAUUGUCCAAUGAAAUUUUAUUUGGGGCAAGUGAAUAAAUUGAUAUGAUGAUGAAAUAAGGUACUCUCUUCGAACUGUCUAUAGGAGCUUCGUUGAAGAAAUAAAUGAGAUGAUAUCCUUAUUUAAAGAGGAAAAAGAUCCACUUAGUGUGGUAGACGGAGGACUAUAUUUUUUAAUAGACAAUAAUUUCUAAGGACAAUUGGAGAGCAAAGAAUUAAUGGAAUCAAAGAAGACGGGAUAGCCGAAGGAAGUUUGUCAAAUUUUAGGGAAUAGGAAACACUAAUAAAAGAAUUUGCUUAAUUGGUUCUAAACAGUAAAAUUAUUGGACGUUGAAGCAAAGGUAGGCUGUGCAAUAUCUCUCGAUGCUUAUGGAAAAUAAGAAAUAUAAAGGCCAAUUAGUAGGAGAUUUCGGCAAUAUCUUCCUGAAGACGAAUGUUGCAAAAUGUGAGCAUCAUAAGGUUUUUGCAACUGUAACCUGCCAAGCAAAACAAGUGAUCCUUGCAGCCGCUCAAGGUUUUAGUCCUUACUUUUAUUUCAUUCUUAUUUAUGUGAAAGUAAUUAGUUUGAAGUCCUCUUAACUGUCAUAGGUUUGGUUACAAAACCACACAAAUAAUUAAAAGUUGUGAGAGAAUGGAUUUAAGUGGUCAAAGAUUAUACGUUUAAAAAUUUAACAAAAAGAAUAAAGAAUCAUGUGUUUGACUUAAAAAUAAUUAAGGCUAAUAUUUACAAUCGAAGAGAGAGGAGGAAGGAGUGGUUAUUAAAGACGGUAAGAGAAAAUAUCUAUGAAAAUGAAAGCUUAGCAUUUAUUAUUUGACUGUCAUGUUCGAAAAUAUUAAAGAUCAAUGGGGCCAUGACAGCAAUUUCUCUGACAAUUAGACCCAACAAAGUCCUUAAACACUUGGCCGACUUCUUUGACUCUUAAUUCCUCCUCAUAUCUUCAAGUUUAGUUAAGCUGUAAUUUUCCUAUAAAUCAACCAAUAGAACUAGCACUUAAAACUAGCUCGAGUCCUCAAGAAUGGUGUCCCUGAAGAUGAUUUCCUUUGUGUUGAAGCUCCUAGUUUGCUUUGCAUUGCUUCUGAUUGCCUCGCCCAUUUCUGCAAUGGACAAUACUCCUCGUAUUCGUAAGAUGGGGAUGGAGUACAAGCUUGUUGGAAAGGCUGUGGUGGUAGCAAAACCAGUGAGACAAUUGUCUGCUGAUUCCCCAUGGGGUGGUGGUUAUCACAUCCCUUAGUUGAUGACAUUACUUUUCAACUGCUUUCAGCUGUGCCUUUUUCCUUUGUGUUUAUAGGCUUUUUGGGAGAAUCAAUCUUAAAUAAAGCUACAAAUGUAUUUGUACGACUCUUUUCAAAUACUUUGGUUUUGCCUCAAUGUUCAAGCUCUUCCUUUCUUGAUUGGGUA